UCUUGGAAACAUGGAAAGUGGGGUGGAUACGGCGAAGAGGGGCAGGGAGCUUGAGGCGGACAGCGGCGGGCAGAGUCCCUCAGUACUAAGUACUGACACAUACGCUUAAAUGUAUCAAAGAUAUGAAGCAAAAUCAGCAGUGACAGUGAGUGACUCCACACAGACAAAGGCUUUCUCUGCUAUACAACUCCCCAAAAGCAUGACCAGCACCAUGAUUUAAAGGACUUUCAAUAAUUGAAUGGCAAUUAGCUUAGUUUCAAUGCUUCUGAGAUUAAUGCAAAUCAUAAAACAAUGUUUUAAAUCACAACUGCUGCUAUUUUAAAAAGGCAUCACUCAGAUGAUUAUGCUCAUAGCAUCACACACACACACAAAAUCCAAGCAGAUAGAGCAAACACAGCCUGGCAGACAAUUACAUAUAUCAGUUAAACAUUACAAAAAAGAGGGGGGGAAACCUCAUUGAUGGAGGGAGACUUUUGAGGGAAUUUCAUAAGGUGGUCACCUGGGUGACACAAAAAGCUGUCUAGUUUGACAUUAGACUUCAGGUUGUGCUGAAAAAUAAAAAAUGCCUAAUGCUUACACACUAAGACUUUUCCUUGCAGAAAAGAAGGCAUGUUCAGGUCAUGGUCAACACAUUGCAUUGCAUUUUUUUUUUUUUUCUGUAAUCAUUUUCAUGCAGCAGGGUAAGAUACUACCAAUCUUGACUAGCAGCUGUUUAACAGUACUGUUGGACAGCUAGGCCUACUUUAUCAUCAUAAACUUUAGUAACAACAUCUAAGAAAGACAAAACACAUAUCAGUCCCCUUAAUAUGCAUACAUGUGGAUGAUUUGAUAUCGCUGAUGUAACACUCCACAGAUACUUUGGAGGUGCAUCAAGCUGAAACAUACGCUUAAAUGUAUCAAAGAUAUGAAGCAAAAUCAGCAGUGACAGUGAGUGACUCCACACAGGCAAAGGCUUUCUCUGCUAUACAACUCCCCAAAAGCAUGACCAGCACCAUGAUUUAAAGGACUUUCAAUAAUUGAAUGGCAAUUAGCUUAGUUUCAAUGCUUCUGAGAUUAAUGCAAAUCAUAAAACAAUGUUUUAAAUCACAACUGCUGCUAUUUUAAAAAGGCAUCACUCAGAUGAUUAUGCUCAUAGCAUCACACACACACACAAAAUCCAAGCAGAUAGAGCAAACACAGCCUGGCAGACAAUUACAUAUAUCAGUUAAACAUUACAAAAAAGAGGGGGGGAAACCUCAUUGAUGGAGGGAGACUUUUGAGGGAAUUUCAUAAGGUGGUCACCUGGGUGACACAAAAAGCUGUCUAGUUUGACAUUAGACUUCGGGUUGUGCUGAAAAAUAAAAAUGCCUAAUGCUUACACACUAAGACUUUUCCUUGCAGAAAAGAAGGCAUGUUCAGGUCAUGGUCAACACAUUGCAUUGCAUUUUUUAUUUAUUUCUGUAAUCAUUUUCAUGCAGCAGGGUAAGAUACUACCAAUCUUGACUAGCAGCUGUUUAACAGUACUGCUGCACAGCCAGGCCUACUUUAUCAUCAUAAACUUUAUUAACAACAUCUAAACACAUAUCUGUCCCCUUAAUAUGCAUACAUGCGGAUGAUUUGAUAUCUCUGAACUAACACUCCACCGUCUAACAGAUGCUUGGAGGUGCAUCAAGCUGAAACAUAUGCUUAAAUGUAUCAAAGACAUGAAGCAAAAUAGACUUCAGGUUGUGCUGAAAAAUGAACAUGCCUAAUGCUUAUGUAACCCACCUUAAAGUUUGGUUACUAAGACCAUAACUUUAGUUUUAGAACAGUUUGAGUUCAAUAAAUAUUUUAAUAUAUAAAUAGAAUAAAUAUGAAUAAAUAGCAAGAAGCUGAGUUUACAUGAUUAUAUGUAUUUCUUUUUUGGUCUGCUUGGAAGUGCAGGUAUUCUAAAAUACUUUUAUUGUGGUAUAGUCAUCUCCUAGGUGACGGGUUUGUUUUUCACAACCCAAGACUCACAAUUCAAGACUCCACUUGAAUGAAAUUGAUUAGACGUUACUGAUAAUCCUCUUAAGAAAAUGAAUACUAACUUUAUCUAACUCUAAUCUAACUUUUUCUAAAUCUAUUGAUCGUAUUGAAUCAUCUUACCUUUCCUUAUACCUAUUUUUCUACUGAUUGUUGAAGACCUGUGUUGUUUGAACCUCGAACUCCGAUUGGUUUUUUAUGUACACUGGAACACUGGAUGGCGAGUCAGUCUCCUUGGAUCGAUUGAAUUGUUCUACCCUUUCAUACUGGAUAACCAACCCCUUGGAUCUGUUCCCUGGAUACAGAUAAGCCUUCACACAUACACUGUCAUUGUACACUCACACCACCUUACCCGGGUAUUUCUUUUCUUUUGGACAUUUGAGUUUUUAACUAUUGAUUUGAUACUUUGCAUUUUUAAGAGCUCUUUUAUUAUUUUAUAGGGUUUUGUAUUUAUUUACUAUUUAUUUUCUAUUUACCAAUGUUUCCUCUUCUUUUCUCAUAGAGAAAAGAUAUUCUUGCAUUUAAUAAACCUGCAUUAUUUAUUUAUAACAUUUUA
Molecule: long non-coding RNA, 2539 nt
Organism: Alosa sapidissima (American shad)
Lineage: Eukaryota; Metazoa; Chordata; Actinopteri; Clupeiformes; Clupeidae
Exons: 2
Source: RefSeq, a predicted model, not a curated record